Ostrea edulis (European flat oyster) is the source of this 692-nucleotide long non-coding RNA. RefSeq lists it as uncharacterized. The record is from RefSeq and is a predicted model, not a curated record. The transcript is spliced from 2 exons. Lineage: Eukaryota; Metazoa; Mollusca; Bivalvia; Ostreida; Ostreidae.
GCCCCCUGUUGAGGAACCCGAGGAUGUACUCCUCAGGACAAUUAUGGGGAUGUUACAGAACCUGCAACAGUGCCACCUGGUGGAGCAGGCGGGCUAACUGACAUUAUCUAUGACGAUCAAGCAGGUGGAUGAGGGUUGAUAGAGAGGAACAUGUCGUGGUAAAAAUGGACUUUUUCCGGCCAACUACGUAGAACUUCAGCAAAUAAAGCGGACUCACUGGGACACACGAUCAUAUAAUCAUAUGUUGUUGCAAAAUAUUGAUGAUCAAAGUCAUCGUACGAUUGUCUUAUAUGAUUCUCUAGAUGAAUUCAAAAUCAUUAUGUACCUAACUGUUUUGUAUAUGAUUUAAGUGUUUAAUACAUAGUCUUCCUAUUCACUUUUCUGAUUACUGAAUGUAAUUUGUGAAAGUUUGAGUGCAUGAAAUGGACGAAUUGUUUUGAAAAGAAAUAUGGAGUUCUGUAUAUAUUAAUACACAUCAUGAUUUGUAAUUUGUAUAUAAGAACUAUGUUUAUUACAGCUGUAUAGGUCAGGGAAGCAUUUGUAAGAAUUUGUGUGUGAUAAAAUCAAUCUGAACAAAUUGAAAAGUCAUUUACAAAAUGCAAACAAAUGAUAUCCAUGUAUUAACAUAGCAAGAUCAUAAAAACAUUAUCAUAUUUAUUUCUACAUAUGAAUGAAGAUAUUUCUACAUUUUA